RNAcentral lists this long non-coding RNA (658 nucleotides) under Zonotrichia albicollis (white-throated sparrow). RNAcentral's name for it is "lncRNA (ENSZALG00000002091.1)". Lineage: Eukaryota; Metazoa; Chordata; Aves; Passeriformes; Passerellidae. The record is from RNAcentral.
CAGUAUAUCCCAGUAUAUCCCAGUCCAUCCCAUUCCCAGUCCAUCCCAGUCCAUCCCAGUCCAUCCCAGUAUAACCCAGUCCCUCCCAGUACAUCCCAGUAUAACCCAGUCCCUCCCAGCCCCAUUCCCAGUAUAUCCCAGUCCAUCCCAGUCCAUCCCAGUCCAUCCCAGUAUAUCCCAGUCCAUCCCAGUAUAUCCCAGUAUAACCCAGCCCCAUUCCCAGUCCAUCCCAGUAUAACCCAGUAUAUCCCAGUCCCUCCCAGCCCCAUUCCCAGUAUAUCCCAGUAUAUCCCAGUAUAUCCCAGUCCAUCCCAGCAUAUCCCAGUAUAUCCCAGUAUAACCCAGUCCCUCCCAGUAUAACCCCGUAUAUCCCAGUAUAACCCAGUUCCCUCCCAGUUUGCUCCCAGUCCCUCCCAGUAUAACCCAGUCCCUCCCAGUAUAACCCAGUAUAUCCCAGUAUAACCUAGUCCCUCCCAGUUUGAUCCCAGUAUAACCCAGUUUGUCCCAGUCCCUCCCAGUAUAACCCAGUAUAACCCAGUUCCCUCCCAGUAUAACCCAAUUCCCUCCCAGUUUGAUCCCAGUUCCCUCCCAGUAUAAACCAGUAACCCAUAAUCCCCCUCCCAGUUUAUCCCAGUAUAACCCAGUCCCUCCCAGUUUU